This is a long non-coding RNA of Colossoma macropomum (tambaqui), 826 nucleotides long. RefSeq lists it as uncharacterized. The transcript has 3 exons. NCBI's taxonomy places the organism in Eukaryota, Metazoa, Chordata, Actinopteri, Characiformes, Serrasalmidae. The record is from RefSeq and is a predicted model, not a curated record.
AACAUGGUCAAAAGGACCAUGUUGCUGAUGACCGGACAUGUUGCAGAUGCCACAUCAAUCCAUGGCUUGCCAGGCUAUGCCCCCAUAUAUGGAGAAUCUGGAUCUGUUACACUGAUGUCAACCAGUGAACUUCGACAGAGACAAGGUCUUGAUCUAAGACUCCAUGAGCAGAGGACCUGGCAGGAAGUGUUAAACCUACAAAUCUGUAAGACGUUAAGGCAGCCUGACCUUGUUGAGCAUAUAGGUAGCAGAAUCCUGACCCAAGAGCACAUUUUCCUGGGAGCAAAGGUCUGGAUUAGAGGAAAGAUGGUUAUGAAGAACAUUAAUGAUCGUCUUACUGGCCAUGGACAGCUUUACAUCCAAUACUAAAGUGCAACAUUGUCCCUCAGACAUUACAAAUAUGUGUGAAAUUAUUUCUCUGUGUCAGUUAGUCCACAACUGCAUAUCGCUACUGUCGAAACAAAACCUCAUACCUUUUUCAGUUUUUGACAUAAUUUGAAAGUACAGAGGCAGACAUGGAAAGUGCAAGACAUCGGUCUCAACCAGUUAAAAUUACAGGCAUAUGGGCUUCGGCAUCAGGUAUAUCAUCUUACUGAAUGACAGACUGGCCCUUCAUGUUUAAACUGAUUGGAGAAAUAUGCUCUAUGUGGGCCAGAAACCAAUCAAACUCUGUUACAGAAAAUCCUCAGCUUCUGUUUGAGGGCAUAACAUUUCAACAACUAUACAGGAAAAUCCUCUAACAGGCUUUAAAGAAUUCAAAGAGGCUGUUAAGGUUCUCCUUACACCUUUAGCCAUUACAGAAACCUCUCCACCACAAGUGCUUUUG